UACGUAGGGUGCGAGCGUUAAUCGGAAUUACUGGGCGUAAAGCGUGCGCAGGCGGUUGUACAAGUCAGGUGUGAAAUCCCCGGGCUUAACCUGGGAACUGCACUUGUGACUGUACGACUGGAGUACGGCAGAGGGGGAUGGAAUUCCGCGUGUAGCAGUGAAAUGCGUAGAUAUGCGGAGGAACACCGAUGGCGAAGGCAAUCCCCUGGGCCUGUACUGACGCUCAUGCACGAAAGCGUGGGGAGCAAACAGG
This 253-nucleotide ribosomal RNA is filed under the name uncultured bacterium. RNAcentral's name for it is "partial 16S ribosomal RNA". It matches the Rfam family "Bacterial small subunit ribosomal RNA", at positions 524 to 776 of the family's 1533-position model. The record is from RNAcentral.